This is a non-coding RNA of Brachypodium distachyon (stiff brome), 135 nucleotides long. NCBI's taxonomy places the organism in Eukaryota, Viridiplantae, Streptophyta, Magnoliopsida, Poales, Poaceae. The record is from Rfam.
CUUAUACUCCCUUCGUCUAACAAAGUAUGUCUUAACUUUGACUAAAUUAAAUGUAUCUAUACACUAUAUUACGUCUAGAUACAUUUAAAUUUUGACAAACUUAAGACAUCUUUUGUUGAACGGAGGGAGUACAAA